UAAUACAUGCAAGUCGAACGAGUUCUCGUUGAUGAUCGGUGCUUGCACCGAGAUUCAACAUGGAACGAGUGGCGGACGGGUGAGUAACACGUGGGUAACCUGCCCUUAAGUGGGGGAUAACAUUUGGAAACAGAUGCUAAUACCGCAUAGAUCCAAGAACCGCAUGGUUCUUGGCUGAAAGAUGGCGUAAGCUAUCGCUUUUGGAUGGACCCGCGGCGUAUUAGCUAGUUGGUGAGGUAAUGGCUCACCAAGGCGAUGAUACGUAGCCGAACUGAGAGGUUGAUCGGCCACAUUGGGACUGAGACACGGCCCAAACUCCUACGGGAGGCAGCAGUAGGGAAUCUUCCACAAUGGACGCAAGUCUGAUGGAGCAACGCCGCGUGAGUGAAGAAGGCUUUCGGGUCGUAAAACUCUGUUGUUGGAGAAGAAUGGUCGGCAGAGUAACUGUUGUCGGCGUGACGGUAUCCAACCAGAAAGCCACGGCUAACUACGUGCCAGCAGCCGCGGUAAUACGUAGGUGGCAAGCGUUAUCCGGAUUUAUUGGGCGUAAAGCGAGCGCAGGCGGUUUUUUAAGUCUGAUGUGAAAGCCCUCGGCUUAACCGAGGAAGCGCAUCGGAAACUGGGAAACUUGAGUGCAGAAGAGGACAGUGGAACUCCAUGUGUAGCGGUGAAAUGCGUAGAUAUAUGGAAGAACACCAGUGGCGAAGGCGGCUGUCUGGUCUGUAACUGACGCUGAGGCUCGAAAGCAUGGGUAGCGAACAGGAUUAGAUACCCUGGUAGUCCAUGCCGUAAACGAUGAAUGCUAGGUGUUGGAGGGUUUCCGCCCUUCAGUGCCGCAGCUAACGCAUUAAGCAUUCCGCCUGGGGAGUACGACCGCAAGGUUGAAACUCAAAGGAAUUGACGGGGGCCCGCACAAGCGGUGGAGCAUGUGGUUUAAUUCGAAGCAACGCGAAGAACCUUACCAGGUCUUGACAUCUUUUGAUCACCUGAGAGAUCAGGUUUCCCCUUCGGGGGCAAAAUGACAGGUGGUGCAUGGUUGUCGUCAGCUCGUGUCGUGAGAUGUUGGGUUAAGUCCCGCAACGAGCGCAACCCUUAUGACUAGUUGCCAGCAUUUAGUUGGGCACUCUAGUAAGACUGCCGGUGACAAACCGGAGGAAGGUGGGGAUGACGUCAAAUCAUCAUGCCCCUUAUGACCUGGGCUACACACGUGCUACAAUGGAUGGUACAACGAGUUGCGAGACCGCGAGGUCAAGCUAAUCUCUUAAAGCCAUUCUCAGUUCGGACUGUAGGCUGCAACUCGCCUACACGAAGUCGGAAUCGCUAGUAAUCGCGGAUCAGCACGCCGCGGUGAAUACGUUCCCGGGCCUUGUACACACCGCCCGUCACACCAUGAGAGUUUGUAACACCCGAAGCCGGUGGCGUAACCCUUUUAGGGAGCGAGCCGUCUAAGGUGGGACAAAUGAUUAGGGUGAAGUCGUAACAAGGU
RNAcentral lists this ribosomal RNA (1486 nucleotides) under Lacticaseibacillus casei. RNAcentral describes it as "bacterial SSU rRNA". It matches the Rfam family "Bacterial small subunit ribosomal RNA". The record is from RNAcentral. Lineage: Bacteria; Bacillati; Bacillota; Bacilli; Lactobacillales; Lactobacillaceae.